RNAcentral lists this ribosomal RNA (253 nucleotides) under uncultured bacterium. RNAcentral's name for it is "partial 16S ribosomal RNA". It matches the Rfam family "Bacterial small subunit ribosomal RNA", at positions 524 to 776 of the family's 1533-position model. The record is from RNAcentral.
UACGUAGGGGGCAAGCGUUGUCCGGAUUUACUGGGCGUAAAGAGCGUGUAGGCGGCCAAACAGGUUCGUUGUGAAAACUGGAGGCUUAACCUCCAGACGUCGACGGAAACCGUAUGGCUAGAGUCCGGAAGAGGAGAGUGGAAUUCCUGGUGUAGCGGUGAAAUGCGCAGAUAUCAGGAAGAACACCAAUGGCGAAGGCAGCUCUCUGGGACGGUACUGACGCUGAGACGCGAAAGCGUGGGGAGCGAACAGG